CCCUUAGAUGUUCUGGGCCGCACGCGCGCUACACUGACGAAGUCAGCGAGCAUGUCCUACGCCGACAGGUGCGGGGAAUCUUGUCAAACUUCGUCGUGAUGGGGAUUGAUUAUUGAAAUUCUUGAUCAUCAACGAGGAAUUCCUAGUAAGCGCAAGUCAGCAGCUUGCGUUGAUUACGUCCCUGCCCUUUGUACACACCGCCCGUCGCACCUACCGAUUGAAUGAUUCGGUGAAGAUUCCGGACCGUGUUGUCACCGCUUCACGGCGGUUUUGACGUGGGAAGUUAUCUAAACCUCAUCAUUUAGAGGAAGGUGAAGUCGUAACA
Molecule: ribosomal RNA, 325 nt
Filed under: uncultured eukaryote
Lineage: Eukaryota
Description: partial 18S ribosomal RNA
Rfam family: Eukaryotic small subunit ribosomal RNA
Source: RNAcentral